AACGCACGAGACCUGCGGACCUGCGGAGGGAUCAUUAAUGAGAAACUGCCCCUCGCGGGUAGAUCUCCCACCCUUUGUAAACUUACCUUUGUUGCUUUGGCAGGCCCGUCUCCGGACCGCCGGCUUCGGCUGGCCAGUGCCUGCCAGAGGAUUCUAAAACUCUGUCUGUCAGUGUUGUCUGAGUCUAUAUACAAUCGUUAAAACUUUUAACAAUGGAUCUCAAGAUCGGAAGAGCACACG
RNAcentral lists this unclassified non-coding RNA (240 nucleotides) under soil metagenome. RNAcentral's name for it is "partial contains 5.8S ribosomal RNA, internal transcribed spacer 2, and large subunit ribosomal RNA". The record is from RNAcentral.